AUUGAACGCUGGCGGCAGGCCUAACACAUGCAAGUCGAACGGUAGCACAGAGAGCUUGCUCCCGGGUGACGAGUGGCGGACGGGUGAGUAAUGUCUGGGAAACUGCCCGAUGGAGGGGGAUAACUACUGGAAACGGUAGCUAAUACCGCAUAACGUCGCAAGACCAAAGUGGGGGACCUUCGGGCCUCACACCAUCGGAUGUGCCCAGAUGGGAUUAGCUAGUAGGUGGGGUAAUGGCUCACCUAGGCGACGAUCCCUAGCUGGUCUGAGAGGAUGACCAGCCACACUGGAACUGGGACCAGGUCCAGAUUCCUACGGGAGGCAGCAGUGGGGAAUAUUGCACAAUGGGCGCAAGCCUGAUGCAGCCAUGCCGCGUGUAUGAAGAAGGCCUUCGGGUUGUAAAGUACUUUCAGCGGGGAGGAAGGCGGUGAAGUUAAUAACUUCACCGAUUGACGUUACCCGCAGAAGAAGCACCGGCUAACUCCGUGCCAGCCGCCGCCGUAA
This 504-nucleotide ribosomal RNA is filed under the name uncultured bacterium. RNAcentral's name for it is "partial 16S ribosomal RNA". It matches the Rfam family "Bacterial small subunit ribosomal RNA", at positions 30 to 523 of the family's 1533-position model. The record is from RNAcentral.